CUGAAGAGGUUUAUUCCACUUCUCCCAAAGUCGAUCGUACAUGAUAGCCAGCCAUCUAUCCUUAACAAAGCCAUGCAGAUUAACCAAGUGGAAGCAAGAUUCUAACUGAAAAGCUGGUAGGACCUCGGUGGCGAGUGGUCAGGAUCAGGCCCAGCCUAGAAGACUCUCCAACACCUUGCACUGAAAGUUUCACUAGAGGCAAAUGCAUCUGUAUCCUGACAAUAGAUGAAAUCAAUCAAAUCAGAUGGGAGAAGCCUCCAGAACUCCGGAGGCUAUAAUUUUCAUGAGCUUUUAUAGAGGGAAGCGUCCGGCAACGUCAAUUUAAAAUGUAAAAAUCGACUCUGCGCUGGCACAUGAUCUUGGGUAAUCAUGUAGUCCCCACGGCCCUCGGUUUGGUGAGACGCUCUCUUACUCUACAGUCUGGGCUAUUCACGUGAUGACGCUGAGAAUUUUUAGCAUGGAAAUUUCUGUGUUCUCUGACCUAUGUUGCCGUCAGCCAUAUCCAAUGCAACAAAGUUUCAAGCAGGACAAAAAAGCCAAAUUGUUUUGGAAAGCUAGUGACUACUCCUUAAGUCUUAAUGUUUUGUGAAUUCAGAAUUGCUAUUGCAUUCUCACACAAUUAUGAGCACCCAUGGUUAUUUCUGACCACUGGAUUAUUAAUUUGCGUGGGCAACCAGACAAAUAUCACCUAUUCCUUCCCUGACAAGGUUCCCUGAACUGUCUAAUUAGUUUCAAGGAGAAAGAUACUCACUUGUACAAGCCAGCCCAUUAUUUUCCUAACAUCAAGGAGUAUCCUGUCUCGGCAAAUGUCAUCCCUGAAGCUAUGGAUUUGCUGGGCUGCCUCGCAAUCAGACAGUAACAUAAUUUGCUUCUACGUGAUAUUUUUGAGGCUCCAUUUUUUUUUAUUUCUUUCCCCCUAUUUUAAGAAUGCAAUGAAUUCAGGAGCUCAGUUUGGCUUCAAGGAUCGUUAGCUACUUCCUAACUGCCCCUCUAGGGAAAGAGGGAGGAAGGGGGGACCAAGGAGAUAGCAAAAAUCAAUAGAGUCUGCUUGAAUUCUCUGUCUCCCUCCAUCUGACGCCAAGAACCUAAGUGAAGUGUGCUCUCAGCGUAGGGGAAGCCAGCCUGAGUGCCAAUCAACCACAGGCAGGAGGCUAUGUUAGCCUGGACAGAGGC
This is a long non-coding RNA of Herpailurus yagouaroundi (jaguarundi), 1173 nucleotides long. RefSeq lists it as uncharacterized. NCBI's taxonomy places the organism in Eukaryota, Metazoa, Chordata, Mammalia, Carnivora, Felidae. The transcript has 3 exons. The record is from RefSeq and is a predicted model, not a curated record.